UGUUUUGUUAGACUGUAACUCCCAAGAAUCCUGCAGCCAGCAUGUUAUGGUUGGUUGGGGAAUUCUGGGAGAUGUAGUCCAAACAAGUAA
Anolis carolinensis (green anole) is the source of this 90-nucleotide microRNA precursor. The record is from Ensembl. NCBI's taxonomy places the organism in Eukaryota, Metazoa, Chordata, Lepidosauria, Squamata, Anolidae.